Molecule: ribosomal RNA, 481 nt
Filed under: uncultured bacterium
Lineage: Bacteria
Description: partial 16S ribosomal RNA
Rfam family: Bacterial small subunit ribosomal RNA
Source: RNAcentral
GACGAACGCUGGCGGCGUGCUUAACACAUGCAAGUCGAGCGGAAAGGCCACUUCGGUGGUACUCGAGCGGCGAACGGGUGAGUAACACGUGAGUAAUCUGCCCCUGGCUUUGGGAUAGCCACCGGAAACGGUGAUUAAUACCGGAUACGACCACUUCUCGCAUGGGAUGGUGGUGGAAAGUUUUUUCGGCCAGGGAUGUGCUCGCGGCCUAUCAGCUUGAUGGUGAGGUAAUGGCUCACCAUGGCUUCGACGGGUAGCCGGCCUGAGAGGGUGACCGGUCAAACGGGGACUGAGACACGGCCCAGACUCCUACGGGAGGCAGCAGUGGGGAAUAUUGGACAAUGGGCGGAAGCCUGAUCCAGCAACGCCGCGUGAGGGAUGACGGCCUUCGGGUUGUAAACCUCUUUCAGCAGGGACGAAGCGCAAGUGACGGUACCUGCAGAAGAAGCACCGGCCAACUACGUGCCAGCAGCCGCAGUAA